UCGGGAAUAUUGGGCAAUGGAGGCAACUCUGACCCAGCAACGCCGCGUGAAGGAUGAAGGCCUUCGGGUCGUAAACUUCUGUCGAGAGGGAAGAACUACGUACGGUCAAUAUCCGUGCGUUUGACGGUACCUCCAAAGGAAGCACCGGCUAACUCCGUGCCAGCAGCCGCGGUAAUACGGAGGGUGCAAGCGUUGUUCGGAUUUAUUGGGCGUAAAGCGAGUGUAGGCGGUUCGACAAGUCGGGUGUGAAAUCCCAGGGCCCAACCCUGGAACUGCAUCCGAUACUGUCGGGCUAGAAUUCCGGAGAGGGUGGCGGAAUUCCCGGUGUAGGGGUGAAAUCCGUAGAUAUCGGGAGGAACACCAGUGGCGAAGGCGGCCACCUGGACGGUAAUUGACGCUGAGACUCGAAAGCGUGGGUAGCAAACAGGAUUAGAUACCCCCGUAGUCC
RNAcentral lists this ribosomal RNA (448 nucleotides) under uncultured prokaryote. RNAcentral's name for it is "bacterial SSU rRNA". It matches the Rfam family "Bacterial small subunit ribosomal RNA", at positions 355 to 796 of the family's 1533-position model. The record is from RNAcentral.